This 468-nucleotide ribosomal RNA is filed under the name uncultured bacterium. Its description in RNAcentral is "partial 16S ribosomal RNA". It matches the Rfam family "Bacterial small subunit ribosomal RNA", at positions 28 to 507 of the family's 1533-position model. The record is from RNAcentral.
GACGAACGCUGGCGGCGUGCUUAACACAUGCAAGUCGAACGGAAAGGCCCUGCUUUUGUUGGGUGCUCGAGUGGCGAACGGGUGAGUAACACGUGAGUAACCUGCCCUUGACUUUGGGAUAACUCCAGGAAACUGGGGCUACUACCGGAUAGGAGCUCCUGCUGCAUGGUGGUCGUUGGAAAGUUUCGGCGGUUGGGGAUGGACUCGCGGCUUACCAGCUUGUUGGUGGAGUAGUUGCUUACCAAGGCUUCGACGGGUAGCCGGCCUGAGAGGGUGACCGGCCACAUGGGGACUGAGAUACGGCCCAGACGGCUACGGGAGGCAACGGUGGGGAGUAUUGCACAAUGGGGGGAAGCCUGAUGCAGAGACGCCGCGUGCGGGAAGACGGCUUUCGGGUUAUGAACAGCUUUGGCCUGAGACGAAGCGUGAGUGACGGUAAUGGGUAAAGAAGCACCGGCUAACUACGUG